GGGACGAGUUCAAGCAACAAGCUUUAUAUAAGAUCAAUUGUGUCAUGCAUCACGAAGCUAAAUCAAUUCGACGAACAUAUCGCAAGCAUUGAACAAGAGAUGAAAUUUGCUAUUAUCUCAUCAAUCAAAUUCAACCUAUUUGAAAUACCUUUGCGCAUUUCAAUUUGUUAUGAAAAUUGCGUGGUCAAAUUCAAAGCUCCCACCGCAUUGAUUUUGAUAGAUUAAAAACUCCUGAGCUCCAGGAAUUGCAGGGGAGUCAGUACCAAAUUUUAUCAUAUGAGAAGACUCAGAAGAAAUCAAAGAAUCCUACAGAACCGGACGACCUACUGGAAGACGAAUAAGACCCUAGGCGAGGUCCUGAUUUCUCGGUAGGCUGUAACGGGCGCAAGCGGCUAUCUUUUUGGGCCCUAGCAAAUAUAUAGUUUCCC
RNAcentral lists this long non-coding RNA (428 nucleotides) under Elaeis guineensis (African oil palm). RNAcentral's name for it is "long non-coding RNA (EGUI_LNC016746)". The record is from RNAcentral. Lineage: Eukaryota; Viridiplantae; Streptophyta; Magnoliopsida; Arecales; Arecaceae.